GUAAGGAAUAUUGGUCAAUGGACGAAAGUCUGAACCAGCCAUGCCGCGUGGAGGAUGAAGGUCCUCUGGAUUGUAAACUUCUUUUAUAUGGGACGAAAAAAGGCUUUUCUAAGUCGUCUGACGGUACCAUAUGAAUAAGCACCGGCUAACUCCGUGCCAGCAGCCGCGGUAAUACGGAGGGUGCAAGCGUUAUCCGGAUUCACUGGGUUUAAAGGGUGCGUAGGUGGAUUGCCAAGUCCGUGGUGAAAUCUUCGAGCUUAACUCGGAAACUGCCAUGGAUACUGGUGAUCUUGAAUAUCGUGGAGGUUAGCGGAAUAUGUCAUGUAGCGGUGAAAUGCUUAGAUAUGACAUAGAACACCAAUUGCGAAGGCAGCUGGCUACGCGAAUAUUGACACUCAGGCACGAAAGCGUGGGGAUCAAACAGGAUUAGAAACCCUUGGUCC
Molecule: ribosomal RNA, 443 nt
Filed under: uncultured bacterium
Lineage: Bacteria
Description: partial 16S ribosomal RNA
Rfam family: Bacterial small subunit ribosomal RNA
Source: RNAcentral